AGAAUCAACGCUGGCGGCGUGCCUAACACAUGCAAGUCGCACGAGAAAGGGACGUUCGGUCCUGAGUACAGUGGCGCACGGGUGAGUAACACGUGAAUAAUCUACCUCCGAGUGGGGAGUAACUGAGAGAAAUCUUAGCUAAUACCGCAUAACACUUACGAGUCAAAGCAGCAAUGCGCUUGGAGAGGAGUUCGCGGCAGAUUAGUUAGUUGGCGGGGUAAUGGCCCACCAAGACGAUGAUCUGUA
RNAcentral lists this ribosomal RNA (246 nucleotides) under uncultured bacterium. RNAcentral's name for it is "partial small subunit ribosomal RNA". It matches the Rfam family "Bacterial small subunit ribosomal RNA", at positions 26 to 285 of the family's 1533-position model. The record is from RNAcentral.